UUUUCAGUUUAAAGAUCUACUGUCCGUUUUUAUUUGAUUCAAGUCCAGUUAAUUUAUAAUUUAGUAAAGAUCCAUGUCCAGUCAAUGUGAUCCUUGUCCAGUCAAGUUGUUAUUAUAGUCCAUGUGAUCCUUGUUCAGCCAAGUUGUUAUUAUAGGUCUGGGAAAGUGCAAUAGAUGUUCUGAUGUUCAAUGGAAAAGGUCACACCCUGCUUGUAGAAUACAUCUGAACCUCAUUUAGG
Long non-coding RNA from Mytilus trossulus (common blue mussel), 239 nucleotides. RefSeq lists it as uncharacterized. Lineage: Eukaryota; Metazoa; Mollusca; Bivalvia; Mytilida; Mytilidae. The transcript has 3 exons. The record is from RefSeq and is a predicted model, not a curated record.